AGGACGAACGCUGGCGGCGUGCUUAACACAUGCAAGUCGAGCGGUGAUCCUCCUUCGGGAGGUGAUCAGCGGCGAACGGGUGAGUAACACGUGGGCAACCUGCCCCUAGCUCUGGGAUAACUCCGGGAAACCGGUGCUAAUACCGGAUACGACCUCAUUAGGCAUCCUUUGAGGUGGAAAGAUUUAUCGGCUAGGGGAUGGGCCCGCGGCCUAUCAGCUUGUUGGUGGGGUAACGGCCUACCAAGGCGACGACGGGUA
This 258-nucleotide ribosomal RNA is filed under the name uncultured bacterium. Its description in RNAcentral is "partial small subunit ribosomal RNA". It matches the Rfam family "Bacterial small subunit ribosomal RNA", at positions 26 to 285 of the family's 1533-position model. The record is from RNAcentral.